RNAcentral lists this long non-coding RNA (745 nucleotides) under Linum usitatissimum (flax). RNAcentral describes it as "long non-coding RNA (LUSI_LNC003287)". Lineage: Eukaryota; Viridiplantae; Streptophyta; Magnoliopsida; Malpighiales; Linaceae. The record is from RNAcentral.
UUUUCAUUGAAUGUGAUGAUAAAAUUAGAAAUAAUGUUUGUAAAAAAAAAAAGAAAAAAGGAAAAGAAGAGUGGGGAGAAGGAGGAGGGUAUUCAUGGCGUUUGGGUCCAUUUAAUGCAUUUGAACUAUUUGGACAGUUGGGAAAGAAAGACAGGACCUUUCUUCUUCUUCUUCUUUCUUGUUCUUUCAUAAAACCUCCGGAACGUCUCUUUAAAUGCUGCUUGGGUCUCAGAGGCCACAGUAAGAAAGACAAAAGCAUUGAUUCAAAACCCUUCAGCAGCAUUUACAGAAACAGAGUUCUUGAGAAGAGGAGACGACGACAGAUCAAGUGAACUUAGCUUGCUGGAGAAAGGAAGGUUUUCUCGAGGUCGAUCUGACCUUAUUCUAAUGUGGCAAAUCUGGGAAUCAAUGUGGGUAUUCCAAUCUUGAUCUUGCUCUCACCACUUUAUUUAUGGCCUCUGUUCAUCCCGAAAUUGAAUGUUUCUCAUAAAAGUAGCUGCUUUCAGCUUUGAUUGUCUGUCUCCUGCUUUCAUUUCGGUUGGGUGUCUAGAAAGUAGAAACAGCUGUGGAAUCUUUGAGAAUUAUACUGAGCUGUAGGUCUGCAGAGAAAUCAAGAAAUGUUUAGGGUUUUCAACUGUUAAUAUGGUUGUGCUACAUUAGGAUUGAGAUAAAAGGAUAACAAUGUAGCUUGGAAAAUUGCAGGGUUGAGGGAUUCAGUCAUCUUCUUGAGUAAGGGGAAANNNNN